AAACCCUAUUUCCUCUUUUCAGCCACAGUCGCCGCGCACCCACGCUCGUACACUCAGCUGCCGCUGCGCCAAGGAGAAGCUGUGCGCGGUCCAGGCACAGGUGCAGGGUGAACAGGAGGCGGCGACAACACUCCAGAGGAGGGUGGAUGAGCUAGAGAGCGGCGGAUAGGAGAGGGCCGGUGUGUUGGCGGUGGAGGGCGUGGAGCUGCGCAGGGCAAACACUGUGCUAGAGGAGAACAACAGGGAGCUUGCCUUGAGGCUGCAGGACGCGAUCGAGCAGGCUACUGCAUCUGCCUCCGCUAAUCUAGCUCCUAAGGUUCGACAUGCCCCGUGCCUACCAUCACUCUCGAUUUGAAGAAGAGUCUCAAGAUUUUGCAGGAGGGAGGUCCUAGAGGUAGCAAGCAGAUCGUGGUGGUACCUAUGGAUGAGCGCUAUAGCAAGAUCAAAAGUUCUUGUGGAUGGAUGUUAUUUUGUUUUGUAUUUCUCGAAAAGAGAAAUUUGCAAGUGAACUUAAAAUUGUGAAGCCACAUGUUCUCAUAUGUGGUUGUACUAGCUAGUAUCUCUGAGGUUUAACAAGUCAAACUUAGGGUUGUUGUCUGCUUAUUUUGAUCUUUAUUACGACAAGAGCAAACUUGUGACCUUUAUGUAUGAAUGCAGUACAAUUGUUAUUGCCAUGAAUGAAAAUAUGAGCUAUGUUUGACCAAA
Zea mays is the source of this 705-nucleotide long non-coding RNA. RefSeq lists it as uncharacterized. The record is from RefSeq and is marked validated. The transcript is spliced from 3 exons. NCBI's taxonomy places the organism in Eukaryota, Viridiplantae, Streptophyta, Magnoliopsida, Poales, Poaceae.